Non-coding RNA from Chelonoidis abingdonii (Abingdon island giant tortoise), 136 nucleotides. The record is from RefSeq and is a predicted model, not a curated record. Lineage: Eukaryota; Metazoa; Chordata; Testudines; Testudinidae.
AGACCCUGACCUGAAGCGCACCUGCCGAGUACACCUUACGGCCGAGCAGGUCCAUCCGCCUAGCCUCUUUGGAUUUUGGGGCAGGCGUCUGUUGGCCAUGGCGCUCCCUCUGUUGACGGAUUGUACAACUAAAGAG